CGUAGGGGGCAAGCGUUGUCCGGAUCUAUUGGGCGUAAAGAGCUCGUAGGUGGUUCGGUAAGUCGGAUGUGAAAUCUCCAGGCUCAACCUGGAGGGGUCAUUCGAUACUGCCGUGACUAGAGGUCGGUAGGGGAGUGUGGAAUUCCUGGUGGAGCGGUGAAAUGCGCAGAUAUCAGGAGGAACACCCGUAGCGAAGGCGGCACUCUGGGCCGAUACUGACACUGAGGAGCGAAAGCGUGGGGAGCGAACAGGAUUAGAUACCCUGGUAGUCCACGCCGUAAACGUUGGGCACUAGGUGUGGGACUCUAUCGACGGGUUCCGUGCCGUAGCUAACGCAUUAAGUGCCCCGCCUGGGGAGUACGGCCGCAAGGCUA
RNAcentral lists this ribosomal RNA (374 nucleotides) under uncultured organism. RNAcentral's name for it is "bacterial SSU rRNA". It matches the Rfam family "Bacterial small subunit ribosomal RNA", at positions 526 to 896 of the family's 1533-position model. The record is from RNAcentral.